CCUACGGGAGGCAGCAGUGAGGAAUAUUGGUCAAUGGGCGAGAGCCUGAACCAGCCAAGUCGCGUGAAGGAUGAAGGAUCUAUGGUUUGUAAACUUCUUUUAUAUGGGAAUAAAGUGAGGAACGUGUUCCUUUUUGUAUUUACCAUAUGUUUAAGCAUCGGCUAACUCCGUGCCAGCAGCCGCGGUAAUACGGAGGAUGCGAGCGUUAUCUGGAUUUAUUGGGUUUAAAGUGUGCGUAGGUGGUUAAUUAAGUUAGGGGUGAAAGUUUGUGGCUCAACCAUAAAAUGGCCGUUGAAACUGGGUGACAUGAGUAUAUUUGAGGUAGGGGGAAUGCGUGGUGUAGCGGUGAAAUGCAUAGAGAUCACGCAGAACUCCGAUCGCGAAGGCAGCCUACCGGCGCGCAACUGACGCUCAUGCACGAAAGCGUGGGUAUCGAACAGGAUUAGAUACCCGAGUAGUC
RNAcentral lists this ribosomal RNA (460 nucleotides) under uncultured bacterium. RNAcentral's name for it is "partial 16S ribosomal RNA". It matches the Rfam family "Bacterial small subunit ribosomal RNA", at positions 338 to 795 of the family's 1533-position model. The record is from RNAcentral.